RNAcentral lists this long non-coding RNA (1500 nucleotides) under Bos grunniens (domestic yak). RNAcentral describes it as "lncRNA (ENSBGRG00000004679.1)". Lineage: Eukaryota; Metazoa; Chordata; Mammalia; Artiodactyla; Bovidae. The record is from RNAcentral.
AUGCUGUUACUUGCACUUGGGUGGGCACUUCUCUUGGCAUUGUUGGGGAGGUGGCACAGGAGGGCAUUUCUGCUGGCACUUUGGAGGUGGGCAAGGCUCAGGGCACUUUGGAGGUGGGCAAGGCUCAGGACACUUUGGAGGUGGGCAAGGCUCAGGACACUUUGGAGGUGGGCAGGGCUCAGGGCACUUGGGAGGGCACACUACUGGAGGUGGCUGGCAGGGCUGCUUGCACUGCUGCUGCUGAUAAGACAUCUUUCUGGAGUAUUAGAAUCUGAAAGAAAUUACACGACAGUGUUCACAACAAGGAACUGCUACAAGGAGAAAAUCUGAGCUUAUGUAAUACCAUCAGAUAGAAUCUCUCUAGUCUCUAACGUGCUUAAUGUCUUCUACUCUUUUUAACAAAUUUCUGACUUCUCCCUCAUUAAGAGAGUUUUUAAUUAGUCAGAAGAAAACCUUCUCUCAUACAAUUAUUACAAAAUUUGUUUUUUGUUUGAAAGAACCAAGCAAUAUUUUUAAUUGUUACUUUGAUUUUAUGAAAAUAGCAUCUUUAAGAAAACCCAUCAUAAGUUCUGAAAUUCUGUGUAAGCUCACAAGCAACUUCCAUCAUCAUUAUCUCUCAUGAAGUCCAAACUGGAUGACUUGUGUACAGAGCAAAGGUUCACCAAGAAGGAUACAAGGGUUCUCCACCUUCUAAGAUAAAUGCUUCUCUACCAGAGCAGAGGGAUACCCAAAAAUACAGAAAACGGAAAAGUACUUUUGUCCUUACCUCUUCAUGUCAAAAACUUCAUAUUUAUUUUAUUUUUCAAUAAGAUAAUUCAAACAUUGUACCAGAAACUUAAUAAAUACAAUAUAUCAUUGGGCUUAAAUUUCAAGUUCCUAUCAACCAUCAACAGAGUAGCAUUAAACACGAUUAUAACUUUGGACACAGCAUAUUUGCUCUCUGCAGCAUAAAUUCAACAUUGGGAGCCCCAGAACAAAGUAGAACCGAAGGAUCAGACUCACCAGUUCUCCAAAAUCAAUCGGAACUUGAGUAGCAGGAGGAUGGUGGUGGUGCAGCAGAGGGUCUUUUUAUAGGGCUUGCUGCCCCUCCCAGGGGAGGUGGAGCUGCCAAAACUGGCCUGGUUCAGUCAUUUCCCAAGCAAAAUGCAAAUCCAUCCAUAAGUGGCUUGACAGGGACUCUGAAAAGAGGAAACAUCCUGCUCCAGGAUGGAACAUAAUCUCCUACUGGAUUAUGUUCUCAUGACUCAGAGUCUCUGCCUUAGCUCUCAGGGAUUUUCAGCAGUGGGAGGAUUUGGCAGGUUCUCCAACUUGUACUCAAAGGCUCCCCUUCUUGUUUGAGGAAGAUGGCUCUUUUCUAUCUUUCGCCUUCUUUGAGUUAUAAAACUUCCUAUGUUGUUCCACUUGAACUGGUUGCCAUUUUGCAGUACAUACUAAGUUGAAAAGGGCCUGGCUACCUGGCGACAGCCUUCUUUUUACCGCAGGUUCUUCUUAUAAUGGUUU